RNAcentral lists this ribosomal RNA (321 nucleotides) under Triticum aestivum (bread wheat). Its description in RNAcentral is "partial small subunit ribosomal RNA". The record is from RNAcentral. Lineage: Eukaryota; Viridiplantae; Streptophyta; Magnoliopsida; Poales; Poaceae.
AUGUCGCGAAGGACUCCCCUUCGACUGGUCGCCGCGGAUCUGCUCCAACUCCAUCAACAGCUCGCGGACCCCGUCCACCCGCGAGGAGAGCAAGCCGUCGAGGGUCAAGGUAUUCGUCGAGAUCAGCUUCUCCAUGGCCUUGAGGAGAUCCGCACCUUGUUCUCGGAAGCGCUUGUUGAGGUCGACCGCGAGAUCCGCCCGGAGGAGCUCGUAGACGCCGCGCCCAUCCUCCGACAACUUCUCCAUCGCCGCCGCUCGCCGCCGAUCUCAUCACCGCGUCUCGUGAUGGUGUUGAGGAAGCGCCAGGACCGCCGAAUCUGA